GCACAUUAUAACAAAUGAUGUUUUGCACUGGUUUACUGGUUACGUCACACAAAGAUGAAGACUUGACAUGGUGCACAAGCUAGAGACACAACAGAUAAAAUAGAUUCUCAUAAGGUGAAACCAAGCAUCAUCUGCCUUACUUGAUUUUCAAAUCUGAUUUCUGCAUUAUUUUAUUUUCGAAUUGGAUAGACUAUAAUAUUUAUUACACAGAAUCUUCAAAUAGAACUACAUUAUUGGUACAAUAAAUUUCUAAUUACAGAACUAAUAUAUUACUUCAUCAAUUAGGAUAAAUAAGACCCACUUUGCUCAUCUUCAAACUGCAGACAUUCCAACUCUCCAGAUUUGAAAAUCAGCAGCAUAUGCAAUUUUGAAUGAAGGGGAAAAAAUGCAUCCAAAGAUGCUAAAAAAGGCCACAUAGAAUUAAGGACACCUGAUGGACCUGCUGAUGAUAUUCUUGAUCUUUUGCCUUUAACUGGUGAAAUCCCAGUGGCUGCCUCAUCUGGUAGUUUGAAUAGACUAUUACACUGGUGUACAGAAAUCAUCAAGAUUUCCCAACACCAAAUAAUGAGUCUUCCCAACAUAUAGUCGCUUUUAUAGGUUCUGAGACAUCAGUAUCUUAAAUAAACACUAACGGAUACCAUUCAACAUAAUACUAGAUAUCAAGAAAUAUUAAAUAUCAAGAACUUGACAACUGACAAGUUCAGCAGAUCCAAUAUUUCUAUUGGCAACGACCUUCCAGACAACUGUUUCUGAUUCAGCCAGUGAGGAAAAAUGCUCAUGUGAGGAGCCAACAAAAUGAGAAGCUGAGCUCAAUGGUGAAGAGUCCAAAUUAUCACGAAGGCUAGCCUGCAUAACUACAACUUUAUGAUUGGAAUCUUUUGUGAUGACAUGAAUCUUUCCAUGAAAACCAGCAAGCAGAUGUGGAGUUUCUGAAUCUGCAGAAUCAUAAAAAGGAACUUUUCCUAUAACAACUUUCCAAGCAUCUUCUCUGUGAUCAUACACCUUGAUCUUACCACUGUCUCGAGAACUAGAGGGAUCAUAUGAAUAUAGUUCACCUUCUACCACAAUGCUCAACUUUGUACCUGCCUGACGUGCAGGCCAACCUUCUCCCAUGCCAGUUGGCAUUUCAGCCCACGAAUUGGUUUCAGGAUCAUAAAUUUCUCCCCCAGCAUCAACAAAGAAGGGCCAUGAGUAUAGACUUUGAGGCACACAUAAUCUUCCCAUGUAUGAAGUCAUCCCAGUGGCAAUAGGCUUUAGCAAGUCUGACCAAAAGGCAUUGGGGAACUGUUGAGAUUUUGAGAAUGGCAUGCUUGGAACUUCAGACCAUGUAUCUGUGUGAGGAUCAAAAACUUCAGCAGAUUGCAGAGGAACUAAUCCCCCUCGAAACUGAGUAACCCCUCCAACAACAUAUAGCUUGUUGUUCAAAAUGCUAGUCUUGCAAUAAGCCCUCCCUGUAGACAUGGGAGUGAUCUCACUCCAUCUAUUUAGGAUUGGAUCAUAUCGCCAGACACAACUCACGGUUGAAGCUCUAAAAAAUCCUCCAAGAACAUAGAGGCAGCCAUCAACAGCACCAAUGGCACAACCGCAAAAUGGCAUAUGAUCCGAUGUAUGGUUUUUCCCUAGCCAACUCCUUAUAAUUUCAUGAAUUUUAAUGCGUGGCCCCACAAUGUUCCACAACCAAAGCCCAGAAGAGCCAUUCCUAGAUUCUUCUGAUAAAAGAUUGGGCAUUGGAGGCAACCUCUGCCAUUUUCUUGACAAAGGAUCCAAAGCAUGCCAUGAAAGUUCCUCUUCAACUUUAGUCAAUACAUACAACCACUCUUCUUUCAAUCCAAGUUCUUUUCUCAAUUUAAACAGCUCAUGGCUCAUAAUAGUUUCCUUCCACUUUUGUGACACCAACCUUAGAUUGAAGUAGUAAGUCCUGGGAAUUCUAGCAAGAAUCUGGAUUGACAACUCAUCUGGAAGACUUGGAAUCAGUCUUGGGCGCUUCUCAUCAAAGCUCAAGGAUCUCUUUUGCCUCUUGCAGCUGGUAUCACAUAAGACCUCAUGAAACUGGCUGGUGGUACUCUUGUUACUUGCCAAACUCAAAAUAGCCCCCAUCAAUAAAAACUCCCUGGUUUGCAAUUCCAAAUAUGAACCUGGAAAAUGCUGGAUAAAGCUAAGAAAAGAAGAAUCAGAAGAGUUGAGUAAGCAACGGGAUGAAUUAAAGCAUCUCUGAUAGAAUACAGGUACGCAGAUUUAGAUUUUGUUCCAUUCCAUUUCCAAAAUAUCUUUCAAAAAGUAGAUUUUACAUAUACAGCGUACGCACCAGUGCGUCCCAACUGCCUUUUUUUUUUUU
This 2335-nucleotide unclassified non-coding RNA is filed under the name Hevea brasiliensis (rubber tree). The record is from RNAcentral. Lineage: Eukaryota; Viridiplantae; Streptophyta; Magnoliopsida; Malpighiales; Euphorbiaceae.